This 497-nucleotide non-coding RNA is filed under the name Pongo abelii (Sumatran orangutan). The record is from RNAcentral. Lineage: Eukaryota; Metazoa; Chordata; Mammalia; Primates; Hominidae.
CUCACCUUCACUGCAACAAACAAGGGUUGUUAAAGCUGGACACCGAGACGUGUUUCAUCACAUUACGCAAGCUGGUUUCGAACUCCUGAGCUCAAGCAAUCUACACACCUCAGCCUCCCAAGUUCCUGGGAUUACAGAUAUUUGCUCGGCUUCACCCUCUGAUGUGUUCCACACCACUUCAUGCCACUUUUCAAAAAGAUGAUAAAACGUCAGGGUGAGUAGAACAGAACUGGGUGCAAAUAAAUCUCUCUGAAGCUAACUUGCCUCUCUCCACUCCUACUUCCCUCUGCACGUGCCUUUGCUUUAUUCCUCUGCAUGAGAGAAGCAGUCAAAUCUUUCCCAUUUUCAUACCUGGAUUGCUGCUCAACAGCCUCAACAACUGAGACCUGAAUGUAUCCCCAUUUUAAAGAACCUAACAGAACAUUAAAAUUGUUUCCCAGCCUUCUGAUUCCACAUAUAUAAAAGCCAUUUCUACAGACAUUGAUUCAUACAGGACC